Long non-coding RNA from Nycticebus coucang (slow loris), 3345 nucleotides. RefSeq lists it as uncharacterized. The transcript is spliced from 2 exons. The record is from RefSeq and is a predicted model, not a curated record. Lineage: Eukaryota; Metazoa; Chordata; Mammalia; Primates; Lorisidae.
UUCACCAAGGCUUUGGCUGGAACAGCAUUUCCAGAGGUGUCCAGACUGCGUUAAGGAAUGAAGGUUGACUUUAUAAAGUCAAUAAAAAAAGCCCUUUGGAAAACUGGCCAGAUACCCAUCAGUAACAUUUCCUGAUCUUUGGUAAGUAACAAAGGUCACUUGCUGACGGGUCUGGCAAUCAAAAUGUGCUUGAGGACCUCAAGAGAAGAGGGAUUUACCCAAUGCAUACAGGUAUCUAAUGGCACAGAUGGAACCUGGGCUCUGAAAGGCUUUCAAAAAGUCCAGCCUGAGAUUCCUUAUAAAAGGUUCCAGCAAAGCCAAUUUUAAAGGAAAGAAGAGCCUAGAUGGCUAAUAAUUAAUUAUUCUUACUGCACUUUAUGCAAAUAAUCAGACCCCGUAUACUGAAGGUACAGUUUAUUUUGGCAAAUAAGUUCUACUAUAAUUUGCCUUUAGUAAAGAGAGAAAUUGGAGAGAGAAAAAUAGUUUAAAAAGAAGAAAAAGUCAAGAAAAAGUCCACCUGUAUUUAGAUCCCAGCCUUCUCUGUACUCAUAAAAUGAAAUGUAACUGUUUUACUAAACUGAUCUAUUAAAUGGGACUAAGAAACUGGCCAAAGAGUAUAGAAUUAUAUAUAAUAGUUAUAUUUACUCUGAAGCCUUAAGGCUCAACAAAGGUCUCCUAUUAGCUACACUGGAAAACUUGUGCAGCAUUAAAUGUUAUCCAAAAUUUCCUAGUAAACGGUGUAACUGUAAACACUGCAUUCUACUCUGCUGAAUCUCCUGCCAGCAGAAGCCAAGUGGCCCACUUGUCUGAACUUAAAAGAGGCCUUUUUUAGUAUGAGGCUGGCUCUGAGAAGCCAGAGGCUGUUUGCUUUCCAGUGGAAGAGACCAGACAUGGAAACGGUGCACAUGGACCAGGUUGCCACAGGGGUUCAAAACACCCACAAUUUUUGAAGAAGCGCUGACUCAUGACCUCCAGAAAUUCCUGGCUGAGGAAUUAAAAUGUGUACUGUUCCAAUAUGUCGAUGACCUCCUUUCAGGACACCCUACCCAGACGGCUGCGCCCAAGGCAUGGACUGUCUUUUAUGACGUCUAGAGAUUCCGGAGCUCACCCCUAUCUACUCCCGGGAAGAAAAAGAAUAGUUGGCAGCGGAAUGGAGCCAGGAAGCAGAGAGAAGAUGGAUAAAGAUGUCAGACACACGAGCAGCAGUCCCCCAGAUUCUAAGAGCCACCGUGGUGACAGGAGUGUUUGAUGAAGUUGCUGGGCCAGUACUUCUACAUCUCCCACCUGGCAGCCCUGGCCAAACUGUCAGUCUACAGUGUGUCACCUGCAGCCAGUUCAAUGCAUGCCAAGGACCAACAGUACCCCCAGGAACCCAGUCGUAUGGAGCAACGUCCUUCGAGAACUUCCAGAUCAAGGGACCAAGUUUAGGUCUGGAAUCAGAACCUUGUCCCCCUCAAACCAAGGUAGAAAGGACCUUACACCAUCAUCCUGACCACACACAUGGCAAUGAGGAUGAGAAGAAUCCUCGCCUGGAGUCCUCACAGCUGGCUGAAUAAAGCUUCACUGCCCCUUAAAAAGUAAAGGUAACUUUUAAGACGUCCAACAUGCCCUGCUCCAGCCACAUACUGGGAGCUGGCUGGUUAAGGCAUGGCUGAAGCCUGAGGAAACUCCUCGAGGAACUUGCCUUAAUUAAACUUUAGACUUUGAAAAAAAAAAAGGGUGGGGUGGGGUUGUGCGCUGCUCUAAGUAGAAAAUGCUGUUUUUACACUGAUCACUCAGGAAUAAUGAAAGAAUCAAUGGCCCUCAUGCGGGAGAUCUUGCGCAAGCGUAAAUUAGAAAGAGAAAAUAAUCAGAGCUGGUGUAAGUCUCUCUUGGCUAACGACUCUGAUAUCAGCCCUGGCUGGUCCCCUGGUGUUAUUACUCCUACUCCUGACCGUGGGCCCUUGCAUUAUCAAUAGGCUCAUCGCUUUUAUACAGGACCAGGUAAGAGCCGUACAACUGCUGGUCUUAAGAGGCCAAUAUCGGCCCCUUUCAGACAGAAAGCUAGAGAUGACACACACACAGUACCAGAUCCAUGAUGGGGCCCUUGGAUUUACAAGAAAAGGGGGGAAUGAAAGAACCAGACCAGCACCAUCUUAGGAGUUAAGUUCCACUCCCCUCCGCCAUUUCACUCAGUAAGUUUACUUUCCAGACAAGCCCAGGAAAUUCCCUGAAAUCAUGAGACAACCGCCCACCAAUCAGGGACCCCCCACCUGACCAAUCCAGAAGCAUCCCCUUUGUUUCAAGCUGUGCACGCCCACCUGCUGAGCUGGACCAUAAGAAACCCCUGCUCCAGAGCUCAGGGCUCCUGGCUCGGAUCUGUCGCAACAGAAUCCCUGGGAGCCCAAGUUCGAACUUGCAAUAAAAGGUCCUUUUGCUUUUGCAUGGGACUCGGCUCCCUGGUGGUCUUUGUGGGGGAUUUCGAGAUCUGGGCACAACAAUAGUUUUUUAUAUUCAUGUAUAUAUGUAUGGGUGUGUCUUUAAAAAAAGCACAGGAAGGAAGGGUGCAGUGGCUCAUGCCUGUAAUCCCAGAACUCUGGGAGGCCAAGGUGGGUGGAUUGCCUGACCUCAGGAAUUUGAGAUUAGCCAAACAAGAGUGAGACCCUGUCUCAAAAAAUAACCAGGCGUUGUGGUGGGCACCUGUAGUCCCAGCUACUUGGAAGGAUGAGGCAAGAGAAUCACUUGAGCCCAGAAGUUUGAGGUUGCUGCGAGCUAUGAUGCCACUGCAUUCAACCAAGGGCAACAAAGUCAGACUCUCUCUCAAAAAUAAAUAAGUAAAUAAUUUUAAAAGCACAGUAAAGUUAAAAAUCAAAAAUUAACCUAUAGAGGGGUAGAGAAGACAGAGAUAGGGACAAGAUCUCUGAGUUUAACUUGUUAUCCAUGGGAUAGUUUUUUGAUGGAAUUUCUUUCUGCAGUAGGUCCUUGGUCCAGGAGAUUUGAAGAACGAAUUCACCCACCACAGAGAUCAGUGAUGAGAUAGGAUUCAUUAGAAAGUAAUAGAAAGGCCGGGCGCAGUGGCUCACGCCUGUAAUCCCAGCACUGCGGGAGGCUGAGGAGGGAGAAUCGUUUGAGCUCAGGAGUUCGAGACUCGCCUGAGCAACAGUGAGACCCUGACUCAUGAAAAAAAUGGAAAAACCCAUCCGGGCGCCGCGGAGCGCCUGUAAUCCCAGGGGCUUCCGGAGGCUGAGGCAGUGGGGUGCCCGCAGCCGGAGUCUGAGGUUGUGGUGAGCUACCACGCCCACUGCACUCUGCUCAGGGGCAUAGGGUGGGACCCUGUCUCAACAACAACAACAACAAAAAAGAAAG